GAGCACUGUUUCGGCUAGGGGGCCAUCCCGGCUUACCAACCCGAUGCAAACUGCGAAUACCGGAGAAUGUUAUCACGGGAGACACACGGCGGGUGCUAACGUCCGUCGUGAAGAGGGAAACAACCCAGACCGCCAGCUAAGGUCCCAAAGUCAUGGUUAAGUGGGAAACGAUGUGGGAAGGCCCAGACAGCCAGGAUGUUGGCUUAGAAGCAGCCAUCAUUUAAAGAAAGCGUAAUAGCUCACUGGUCGAGUCGGCCUGCGCGGAAGAUGUAACGGGGCUAAACCAUGCACCGAAGCUGCGGCAGCGACGCUGAUGCGUUGUUGGGUAGGGGAGCGUUCUGUAAGCCUGCGAAGGUGGCCUGUGAGGGUUGCUGGAGGUAUCAGAAGUGCGAAUGCUGACAUAAGUAACGAUAAAGCGGGUGAAAAGCCCGCUCGCCGGAAGACCAAGGGUUCCUGUCCAACGUUAAUCGGGGCAGGGUGAGUCGACCCCUAAGGCGAGGCCGAAAGGCGUAGUCGAUGGGAAACGGGUUAAUAUUCCCGUACUUGGUGUUACUGCGAAGGGGGGACGGAGAAGGCUAUGUUGGCCGGGCGACGGUUGUCCCGGUUUAAGCGUGUAGGUGUGUGUUCCAGGUAAAUCCGGUUCACUUUAACACUGAGGCGUGAUGACGAGGCACUACGGUGCUGAAGCAACAAAUGCCCUGCUUCCAGGAAAAGCCUCUAAGCAUCAGGUAACAUCAAAUCGUACCCCAAACCGACACAG
This 760-nucleotide ribosomal RNA is filed under the name Salmonella enterica subsp. enterica serovar Give. Its description in RNAcentral is "partial 23S ribosomal RNA". It matches the Rfam family "Bacterial large subunit ribosomal RNA", at positions 905 to 1662 of the family's 2925-position model. Lineage: Bacteria; Pseudomonadati; Pseudomonadota; Gammaproteobacteria; Enterobacterales; Enterobacteriaceae. The record is from RNAcentral.